AAUAUUGGACAAUGGGCGAAAGCCUGAUCCAGCCAUGCCGCGUGUGUGUAGACGGUCUUCGGAUUGUAAAGCACUUUAAGUUGGGAGGAAGGGGUUGAAGCUAAUACCUUUAAUCUUUGACGUUACCAACAGAAUUAGCACCGUAUCACUCUUUGCCAGCACCCUCGGUAAAACAGAGGGUGGAAGCGUUAAUCGGAAUUACUGGGCGUAAAGCGCGCGUAGGUGGUUCAGUAAGAUGGAAGUGAAAUCCCCGGGCUUAACCUGGGAACUGCUUUCAUAACUGCUGAGCUAGAGUACGGUAGAGGGUAGUGGAAUUUCCUGUGGAGCGGUGAAAUGCGUAGAUAUAGGAAGGAACACCAGUGGCGAAGGCGACUACCUGGACUGAUACUGACACUGAGGUGCGAAAGCGUGGGGAGCAAACAGG
This 424-nucleotide ribosomal RNA is filed under the name uncultured bacterium. RNAcentral's name for it is "partial 16S ribosomal RNA". It matches the Rfam family "Bacterial small subunit ribosomal RNA", at positions 360 to 776 of the family's 1533-position model. The record is from RNAcentral.